RNAcentral lists this microRNA (22 nucleotides) under Anopheles gambiae (African malaria mosquito). Its description in RNAcentral is "aga-miR-10375b-3p". Lineage: Eukaryota; Metazoa; Arthropoda; Insecta; Diptera; Culicidae. The record is from miRBase by way of RNAcentral.
UUGGGCGCUAUCUACAAUGUAG